GUCCAUCAUUCAGUUUGGGGUCGACUCUAGCGAGACUGCCGGUAAUAAACCGGAGGAAGGUGGGGAUGACGUCAAAUCAUCAUGCCCCUUAUGACCUGGGCUACACACGUGCUACAAUGGUUGGUACAACGAGUUGCGAGUCGGUGACGGCGAGCUAAUCUCUUAAAGCCAAUCUCAGUUCGGAUUGUAGGCUGCAACUCGCCUACAUGAAGUCGGAAUCGCUAGUAAUCGCGGAUCAGCACGCCGCGGUGAAUACGUUCCCGGGCCUU
RNAcentral lists this ribosomal RNA (269 nucleotides) under uncultured Streptococcus sp. Its description in RNAcentral is "partial 16S ribosomal RNA". It matches the Rfam family "Bacterial small subunit ribosomal RNA", at positions 1114 to 1382 of the family's 1533-position model. Lineage: Bacteria; Bacillati; Bacillota; Bacilli; Lactobacillales; Streptococcaceae. The record is from RNAcentral.